GAUGAACGCUGGCGGCGUGCCUAAUACAUGCAAGUCGAGCGAACAGAUGAGGAGCUUGCUCCUCUGACGUUAGCGGCGGACGGGUGAGUAACACGUGGAUAACCUACCUAUAAGACUGGGAUAACUUCGGGAAACCGGAGCUAAUACCGGAUAAUAUAUUGAACCGCAUGGUUCAAUAGUGAAAGACGGUUUUGCUGUCACUUAUAGAUGGAUCCGCGCCGCAUUAGCUAGUUGGUAAGGUAACGGCUUACCAAGGCAACGAUGCGUAGCCGACCUGAGAGGGGGUUCGGCCACACUGAAACUGGAACACGGUCCAGACCCCUACGGGAGGCAGCAGUAGGGAAUUUUCCGCAAUGGGCGAAAGCCUGACGGGGCAACGCCGGGGGAGGGAUGAAGGUCUUGGGAUCGUAAAACUUUGUUAUUAGGGAAGAAAAAAUGUGUAAGUAACUAUGCACGUUUUGACGGUACCUAAUCAAAAAGCCACGGCUAACUACGU
This 496-nucleotide ribosomal RNA is filed under the name uncultured bacterium. RNAcentral describes it as "partial 16S ribosomal RNA". It matches the Rfam family "Bacterial small subunit ribosomal RNA", at positions 28 to 506 of the family's 1533-position model. The record is from RNAcentral.